RNAcentral lists this ribosomal RNA (254 nucleotides) under uncultured bacterium. RNAcentral's name for it is "partial 16S ribosomal RNA". It matches the Rfam family "Bacterial small subunit ribosomal RNA", at positions 524 to 776 of the family's 1533-position model. The record is from RNAcentral.
UACGGGGGGAGCAAGCGUUGUUCGGAUUUACUGGGCGUAAAGGGCGCGUAGGCGGUCAGCACAAGUCAGUUGUGAAAUCUCCGGGCUUAACUCGGAAAGGUCAACUGAUACUGUGCGACUAGAGUGCGGAAGGGGCAACUGGAAUUCUCGGUGUAGCGGUGAAAUGCGUAGAGAUCAGCAGGAACACCCGUGGCGAAGGCGGCCACCUGGGCCGUACCUGACGCUGAGGCGCGAAGGCUAGGGGAGCGAACGGG